This 484-nucleotide ribosomal RNA is filed under the name uncultured bacterium. RNAcentral describes it as "partial 16S ribosomal RNA". It matches the Rfam family "Bacterial small subunit ribosomal RNA", at positions 29 to 507 of the family's 1533-position model. The record is from RNAcentral.
AUUGAACGCUGGCGGCAUGCUUUACACAUGCAAGUCGAACGGCAGCGCGGGCUUCGGCCUGGCGGCGAGUGGCGAACGGGUGAGUAAUACAUCGGAACGUGCCCAGUAGUGGGGGAUAGCUCGGCGAAAGCCGGAUUAAUACCGCAUACGACCUGAGGGUGAAAGCGGGGGAUCUUCGGACCUCGCGCUAUUGGAGCGGCCGAUGGCAGAUUAGCUAGUUGGUGGGGUAAAGGCCUACCAAGGCGACGAUCUGUAGCUGGUCUGAGAGGACGACCAGCCACACUGGGACUGAGACACGGCCCAGACUCCUACGGGAGGCAGCAGUGGGGAAUUUUGGACAAUGGGCGGAAGCCUGAUCCAGCAAUGCCGCGUGUGUGAUGAAGGCCUUCGGGUUGUAAAGCACCUUUGGCGGGAACGAAAAGGACUGUGCCAAUACCACGGUUCGAUGACGGUACCCGCAGAAUAAGCACCGGCUAACUACGUG